RNAcentral lists this ribosomal RNA (303 nucleotides) under Triticum aestivum (bread wheat). RNAcentral's name for it is "partial small subunit ribosomal RNA". Lineage: Eukaryota; Viridiplantae; Streptophyta; Magnoliopsida; Poales; Poaceae. The record is from RNAcentral.
AGCAAGCGCACGAAGGCGUACACAGCUGCCGAGGGCAAGCUUCUUUGCGAGUGUUGGCGAGACAUUGGACAAGACCCAAAGACGGGCGCCGAGCAAAAGCAUUCGACCUUUUGGACUCGUGUGCACCGCGAGUUUCAUGAGCGCAAGAAGUUUCCACCUUACCAAUUUGUGAGCACGCGCGGGUGGGUCUCCAUUUCCAAGCGGUGGAGGGUGAUCCAACAAGAGUGCAACAAGUUUUGCGCCACCCUUGAGAGCGUCAAGGCCCGCCCCGUGAGCGGCAUCGGCGUGCAAGACAUGGUAUGA